This 261-nucleotide ribosomal RNA is filed under the name uncultured archaeon. Its description in RNAcentral is "partial 16S ribosomal RNA". It matches the Rfam family "Archaeal small subunit ribosomal RNA", at positions 748 to 1009 of the family's 1478-position model. The record is from RNAcentral.
CAGCCGUAAACGAUACUCGCUAGGUGUCGGCCACGGUGCGACCGUUGUCGGUGCCGUAGGGAAGCCGUGAAGCGAGCCACCUGGGAAGUACGGCCGCAAGGCUGAAACUUAAAGGAAUUGGCGGGGGAGCACCACAACGGGUGGAACUUGCGGUUUAAUUGGAUUCAACGCCGGAAAUCUUACCGGGACCGACAGCAACAUGAAGGCCAAGCUGAAGACUUUGCCGGAUUAGCUGAGAGGUGGUGCAUGGCGUAGUCGUGU